Molecule: long non-coding RNA, 298 nt
Organism: Salvelinus sp. IW2-2015
Lineage: Eukaryota; Metazoa; Chordata; Actinopteri; Salmoniformes; Salmonidae
Source: RefSeq, a predicted model, not a curated record
GAGAGUGACUAUGUGGUGAAGAGAGCGUGUGAAGGAGACCUGGGUAGACAGCCGUACGCCAAGAGAGAGUGUGCACUACUCUACAGUGACAUCUUUAUCCCCUGUCACAACGUGGUGGAUGUAUCAUGGUUCUAUAGGAACUGCUUGACAGACACMUGUAACUGUAACCGAGGCGGAGACUGUGAGUGUCUGUGUACGUCCAUUGCUGCCUAUGCACACACCUGCUGUCAACACGGUGUCACUGUGGUCUGGAGAAACCCCUCUGUCUGCCCCUAUGAUUGUGAAUACUACAACCAAG